UACGUAGGGUGCGAGCGUUGUCCGGAAUUAUUGGGCGUAAAGAGCUCGUAGGCGGCUUGUCGCGUCGGAUGUGAAAGCCCGGGGCUUAACUUCGGGUCUGCAUUCGAUACGGGCAGGCUAGAGUUCGGUAGGGGAGACUGGAAUUCCUGGUGUAGCGGUGGAAUGCGCAGAUAUCAGGAGGAACACCGGUGGCGAAGGCGGGUCUCUGGGCCGUAACUGACGCUGAGGAGCGAAAGCCAGGGGAGCAAACGGG
Molecule: ribosomal RNA, 253 nt
Filed under: uncultured bacterium
Lineage: Bacteria
Description: partial 16S ribosomal RNA
Rfam family: Bacterial small subunit ribosomal RNA
Source: RNAcentral